Long non-coding RNA from Mercenaria mercenaria, 2040 nucleotides. RefSeq lists it as uncharacterized. The record is from RefSeq and is a predicted model, not a curated record. The transcript is spliced from 3 exons. Lineage: Eukaryota; Metazoa; Mollusca; Bivalvia; Venerida; Veneridae.
GUCCGUUCACUACUAAGAGUAACGAAGCAUAUAGAAACUACAUCGUUUAUAAAACUUCAGUGAUGUGUAUCUUAUAAACAAACUUUUAACAUCAAUUUAUCGGUGCAAAGCGGAUUAUUUAGUGUAUUUUCACUGGAUUUACAGAUAAAUAUCCAUAUUGACAAAGAUGGAGCCUAAAUCUUCACAAGUAUCGUACGAGGUUAGCAAACCACAGUUGAAUGAUCGCAUGGAAACAGUUCUUGGUUUAAGGGGAUUUCAAGACCCCGACACACCCUUGUCAACGUUUGAUAAAAUCAACUUUGGUAUCCUGGUUGUGUUUUUGUAUGCAUCGUUUAUUGUGGCCGUUGUGCUUACAGCUAUAUACAACUAAACUACAUUAACAUAGUGUUCAUAUAUUAAACAGAUCGACUACUUUGAAUACAUAGGUACUAGAAAUGUCAAAAUAUUCUGAUACAAUAUUACAAGAGGAGUCAACUAAAAACUGCAGAAAAAGUGAUAGUGAUACAAAAUGAAAUAUCGAACAUUUACAUUAAAAAUACCUUAUGCCAAAAUAGUAAUAUGUAUAUAUAUGAAAGUAUAUAUAUUUAACUUUGUUCCAGCAUUCAAUUAAACGAAAAAUGCUCUAAUAUCCCAGCACACAAUACAUGCUUGAUUCAUUUCUCUAUCAAACGUUUCGAAAGCUAAGCUGAAUAUGUUUUACUGUGGCCUGACCUUUAAAAUAAUAGUAUGAGAGAAAAUUGCAGUGAUUUUCCGCAGUAAUUUUGAUACAUUACGAACUGUAUUCAGUUGAUUUAUGUGUCAGUGUUUUAAAAGCGACACUACUAUACUUUUAUUGUAUUAUCUCAGAAAUUAUGCUUUUUGAAAACACUCAAAGCAUUUGAGACAAUAACAUUUAGCAGGCCGACUUGCAAUUACCAUUAAAACAGUUUUUAAUUAUCAUGUAUGCUACGUUUUUUAUCUGAUUUUGAAAGCUACUCACUGAAGUGCUUACACAUGUUUUCUUGUGAAACAAAAAUAACUGUAUAUCUACACAUUCUCAUAUAAAUUGAGCUUGGUAUCGGAAUGAAUUACAAAAAAAAAAAUAAUUAUCAUGUUUUUUGCUUAAAAUAAACACUAAGUAUGCACUUAAAUGUGAGCCUGAGAACCAACAUACUAUGAAAUAUUUCAUCACAAAUGUUUACCUGAAGCUAUAUCGUGCAUGACAUUAACAACAAAUUAUAUUUUACAUCUGUUGAUGAAGCCCUACACAAGCUUUACAGGUGCUUAAUCAGAUCUUGUGCAAGUAACAGAUUAGUUCGAAACUUUGAUAUUUGAUCAUAUACACUUAUUUAUGUUCAUGCGUGUUAUAUUUCCUUAAAAUUUGAUUUUUCUUUUCUGGCUGCCCAGAAUAUUAGCAUAAACAUAAAUUUGAUAAACAAACUUUGCAAAAACAUAUAUUAUUAUAAGACAUGUUGUAUUAUAUUCGCUUAAGAUUUGCAUUAAUACUGGUAUAUUUUGCUAUUUUGUUUGAAAUGUCAUAAAAUAAUUAUACUUAACUAGUCAAGGAAGUAUCAAAUUUCAAAAUGAAAAUUCACAUGAAGGGAAGAAUAUCAACCAGUAGAAUCAAACAAAAAGUUGAUAUCCCACCUCAUAGUCCUCUGACUGUUUGUUGUGUCCAUUUCUUGAUUUUAUAUCAGUCAGCUUGAUAACCUUGUGUUUACUACUUUACACUGUUUCUGUGGUGUAAUAUAUUUCAGUUGUCUCAAAAGAUUUUUGCGAGUCUCCGUAUCUUCAAUGUAUUCGUAUAGAGUUUCGAUUUAUUUUUUGCACGAACGAAUACUGUGAUGGUGAAACUUUGAAAGUACGAUAUUGAAAAAACUACGAUGUUCACAAAUCGGAACAGCGCAAUCACGAAACUUAUCACCACCGUUGUUUCGUUAUUUGAUUUUUUAAAAACGUAGUUUCGUUUUUUCUUUAUACACUAACGGGACACCAUAAGUAACCCGUAUAGAUGACUCUGUUUCUCUUGAUACUCUGACUUCAGUAAAAACAUUCAGUUCA